RNAcentral lists this ribosomal RNA (667 nucleotides) under Salmonella enterica subsp. enterica serovar Anatum. Its description in RNAcentral is "bacterial LSU rRNA". It matches the Rfam family "Bacterial large subunit ribosomal RNA", at positions 566 to 1211 of the family's 2925-position model. Lineage: Bacteria; Pseudomonadati; Pseudomonadota; Gammaproteobacteria; Enterobacterales; Enterobacteriaceae. The record is from RNAcentral.
GCGAAAGCGACGUUCAACCGCAAAACAAGCAGAGGGGGCUUAGUGGUGGGGUGACUGCGUACCUUUUGUAUAAUGGGUCAGCGACUUAUAUUCUGUAGCAAGGUUAACCGAAUAGGGGAGCCGGAGGGAAACCGAGUCUUAAUUGGGCGUUAAGUUGCAGGGUAUAGACCCGAAACCCGGUGAUCUAGCCAUGGGCAGGUUGAAGGUUGGGUAACACUAACUGGAGGACCGAACCGACUAAUGUUGAAAAAUUAGCGGAUGACCUGUGGCUGGGGGUGAAAGGCCAAUCAAACCGGGAGAUAGCUGGUUCUCCCCGAAAGCUAUUUAGGUAGCGCCUCGUGAAUUCAUCUCCGGGGGUAGAGCACUGUUUCGGCUAGGGGGCCAUCCCGGCUUACCAACCCGAUGCAAACUGCGAAUACCGGAGAAUGUUAUCACGGGAGACACACGGCGGGUGCUAACGUCCGUCGUGAAGAGGGAAACAACCCAGACCGCCAGCUAAGGUCCCAAAGUCAUGGUUAAGUGGGAAACGAUGUGGGAAGGCCCAGACAGCCAGGAUGUUGGCUUAGAAGCAGCCAUCAUUUAAAGAAAGCGUAAUAGCUCACUGGUCGAGUCGGCCUGCGCGGAAGAUGUAACGGGGCUAAACCAUGCACCGAAGCUGCGGCAGCGA